UGUUCGCCCAUUAAAGCGGUACGCGAGCUGGGUUCAGAACGUCGUGAGACAGUUCGGUCCCUAUCCGUCGUGGGCGUAGGAAAUUUGAGAGGAGCUGUCCUUAGUACGAGAGGACCGGGAUGGACAUACCUCUGGUGUACCAGUUGUCGCGCCAGCGGCAUAGCUGGGUAGCUAUGUAUGGACGGGAUAAGUGCUGAAAGCAUCUAAGCAUGAAGCCCCCCUCAAGAUGAGAUUUCCCAACUUCGGUUAUAAGAUCCCUCAAAGAUGAUGAGGUUAAUAGGUUCGGGGUGUAAGCRCAGUAAUGUGUGUAGCUGACGAAUACUAAUCGAUCGAAGACUUAAUCAAAUUUUA
This 351-nucleotide ribosomal RNA is filed under the name Mammaliicoccus sciuri. RNAcentral's name for it is "bacterial LSU rRNA". It matches the Rfam family "Bacterial large subunit ribosomal RNA", at positions 2578 to 2925 of the family's 2925-position model. Lineage: Bacteria; Bacillati; Bacillota; Bacilli; Caryophanales; Staphylococcaceae. The record is from RNAcentral.